UACAGAGGGUGCGAGCGUUGUCCGGAAUUACUGGGCGUAAAGGGCGCGUAGGCGGCUUGAUAAGUAGGAGGUGAAAUUCCAUGGCUCAACCAUGGAUCGGCCUUCUAGACUGUCAGGCUUGAGCACGGUAGAGGCAGAUGGAAUUCCCGGUGUAGCGGUGGAAUGCGUAGAGAUCGGGAAGAACACCAGUGGCGAAGGCGGUCUGCUGGGCCGUUGCUGACGCUGAGGCGCGACAGCGUGGGGAGCAAACAGG
RNAcentral lists this ribosomal RNA (253 nucleotides) under uncultured bacterium. RNAcentral describes it as "partial 16S ribosomal RNA". It matches the Rfam family "Bacterial small subunit ribosomal RNA", at positions 524 to 776 of the family's 1533-position model. The record is from RNAcentral.